AAAAAGACAAACUCUGGGUUUUCGUGUCCAACUUUGACUGUCUGUCUUAUAUGAAAUUUUUUUAUAAUUCGUAUUUUUAUUGUUGUUAGAUGAUAAAACAUGAUUAAUGCUUUGUGCGUGACUUGUCUUUUUAGUUUUUUUCAUAAUUUUUUCAAAUAAGUCGGACGGUCAAACGUUGGGCACGGAAAUCAGGGUU
This is a microRNA precursor of Oryza sativa Japonica Group (Japanese rice), 196 nucleotides long. It matches the Rfam family "MIR812 microRNA precursor family". The record is from Rfam. Lineage: Eukaryota; Viridiplantae; Streptophyta; Magnoliopsida; Poales; Poaceae.